AGAGUUUGAUCCUGGCUCAGGACGAACGCUGGCGGCGUGCUUAACACAUGCAAGUCGAGCGGUAAGGCCCUUCGGGGUACACGAGCGGCAAACGGGUGAGUAACACGUGAGUAAUCUGCCCUUCACUUCGGGAUAACCACCGGAAACGGUGGCUAAUACCGGAUACGACCAUCGGUUGCAUGACCUGGUGGUGGAAAGUUCUGGCGGUGGAGGAUGAGCUCGCGGCCUAUCAGCUUGUUGGUGGGGUAGUGGCCUACCAAGGCGACGACGGGUAGCCGGCCUGAGAGGGUGACCGGCCACACUGGGACUGAGACACGGCCCAGACUCCUACGGGAGGCAGCAGUGGGGAAUAUUGGACAAUGGGCGAAAGCCUGAUCCAGCAACGCCGCGUGAGGGAUGACGGCCUUCGGGUUGUAAACCUCUUUCAGUACCGACGAAGCGCAAGUGACGGUAGGUACAGAAGAAGCACCGGCCAACUACGUGCCAGCAGCCGCGGUAAUACGUAGGGUGCGAGCGUUGUCCGGAAUUAUUGGGCGUAAAGGGCUCGUAGGCGGUUUGUCGCGUCGGGAGUGAAAACUCGGGGCUUAACUCCGAGCCUGCUUCCGAUACGGGCAGACUAGAGGUAUGCAGGGGAGAACGGAAUUCCUGGUGUAGCGGUGAAAUGCGCAGAUAUCAGGAGGAACACCGGUGGCGAAGGCGGUUCUCUGGGCAUUACCUGACGCUGAGGAGCGAAAGUGUGGGGAGCGAACAGGAUUAGAUACCCUGGUAGUCCACACCGUAAACGUUGGGCGCUAGGUGUGGGACUCAUUCCACGAGUUCCGUGCCGCAGCUAACGCAUUAAGCGCCCC
Molecule: ribosomal RNA, 848 nt
Filed under: uncultured bacterium
Lineage: Bacteria
Description: bacterial SSU rRNA
Rfam family: Bacterial small subunit ribosomal RNA
Source: RNAcentral